CCUACGGGUGGCAGCAGUGGGGAAUAUUGCGCAAUGGGGGCAACCCUGACGCAGCAACGCCGCGUGAUUGAAGAAGGCCUUCGGGUCGUAAAGAUCUUUAAUCGGGGACGAAUUUUGACGGUACCCGUAGAAUAAGCGCCGGCUAACUACGUGCCAGCAGCCGCGGUAAUACGGAGGGAGCAAGCGUUAUGCGGAUUUACUGGGUGUAAAGGGCGUGUAGGCGGGAAUGCAAGCCAGGAGUGAAAUCUGUGGGCUUAACCCCCAAACUGCUUUUGGAACUGCGUGUCUGGAGUGAUGGAGAGGAAAGCGGAAUUCCCAGUGUAGCAGUGAAAUGCGUAGAUAUUGGGAGGAACACCAGUGGCGAAGGCGACCUGCUGGACAUUAACUGACGCUGAGGAGCGAAAGCGUGGGGAGCAAACAGGAUUAGAUAGCCGAGUAGUC
This 441-nucleotide ribosomal RNA is filed under the name uncultured bacterium. RNAcentral's name for it is "partial 16S ribosomal RNA". It matches the Rfam family "Bacterial small subunit ribosomal RNA", at positions 338 to 795 of the family's 1533-position model. The record is from RNAcentral.